Molecule: ribosomal RNA, 796 nt
Filed under: uncultured Bacillota bacterium
Lineage: Bacteria; Bacillati; Bacillota
Description: bacterial SSU rRNA
Rfam family: Bacterial small subunit ribosomal RNA
Source: RNAcentral
ACUUUGAUCAUGGCUCAGGACGAACGCUGGCGGCGUGCCUAACACAUGCAAGUCGAACGGAACUGUUUUGAAAGAUUUCUUCGGAAUGAAUUUGAUUUAGUUUAGUGGCGGACGGGUGAGUAACGCGUGAGUAACCUGCCUUCAAGAGGGGGAUAACAUUCUGAAAAGAAUGCUAAUACCGCAUGACAUACCGGAACCACAUGGUUCUGAUAUCAAAGAUUUUAUCGCUUGAAGAUGGACUCGCGUCCGAUUAGUUAGUUGGUGAGGUAACGGCUCACCAAGACCGCGAUCGGUAGCCGGACUGAGAGGUUGAACGGCCACAUUGGGACUGAGACACGGCCCAGACUCCUACGGGAGGCAGCAGUGGGGGAUAUUGCGCAAUGGGGGCAACCCUGACGCAGCAACGCCGCGUGAAGGAUGAAGGUUUUCGGAUUGUAAACUUCUUUUAUUAAGGACGAAAAUUGACGGUACUUAAUGAAUAAGCUCCGGCUAACUACGUGCCAGCAGCCGCGGUAAUACGUAGGGAGCAAGCGUUGUCCGGAUUUACUGGGUGUAAAGGGUGCGUAGGCGGCUUUGCAAGUCAGAUGUGAAAUCUAUGGGCUCAACCCAUAAACUGCAUUUGAAACUGUAGAGCUUGAGUGAAGUAGAGGCAGGCGGAAUUCCCCGUGUAGCGGUGAAAUGCGUAGAGAUGGGGAGGAACACCAGUGGCGAAGGCGGCCUGCUGGGCUUUAACUGACGCUGAGGCACGAAAGCGUGGGUAGCAAACAGGAUUAGAUACCCUGGUAGUCCACGCUGU